Molecule: ribosomal RNA, 266 nt
Filed under: uncultured bacterium
Lineage: Bacteria
Description: partial 16S ribosomal RNA
Rfam family: Bacterial small subunit ribosomal RNA
Source: RNAcentral
UGGCGACCGGCGCACGGGUGAGUAACGCGUAUCCAACCUGCCCUUUACUAUGGGACAGCCCGUCGAAAGGCGGAUUAAUACCGUAUGUUGUCAUGUUGAUGCAUAUUUUCAUGACCAAAGGCUUCGGCCGGUAAAGGAUGGGGAUGCGUCUGAUUAGCUUGCCGGCGGGUAACGGCCCACCGGGGCGACGAUCAGUAGGGGUUCUGAGAGGAAGGUCCCCCACAUUGGAACUGAGACACGGUCCAAACUCCUACGGAAGGCAGCAG